AAACCUCUUUUCUUGGGGAAGAACAAAAUGACGGUACCCAAGGAAUCAGCAUCGGCUAACUCCGUGCCAGCAGCCGCGGUAAUACGGAGGAUGCAAGCGUUAUCCGGAAUUAUUGGGCGUAAAGCGUCCGCAGGUGGCACUUCAAGUCUGCUGUCAAAGACCGGGGCUUAACCCUGGAAAGGCAGUGGAAACUGAAGAGCUAGAGUGUCUUAGGGGUAGAGGGAAUUCCUGGUGUAGCGGUGAAAUGCGUAGAGAUCAGGAAGAACAUCGGUGGCGAAAGCGCUCUACUGGACGACAACUGACACUCAGGGACGAAAGCUAGGGGAGCGAAUGGGAUUAGAUACCCCAGUAGUCCUAGCCGUAAACGAUGGAUACUAGGUGUGGCUUGUAUCGACCCGAGCCGUGCCGUAGCUAACGCGUUAAGUAUCCCGCCUGGGGAGUACGCGCGCAAGCGUGAAACUCAAAGGAAUUGACGGGGGCCCGCACAAGCGGUGGAGUAUGUGGUUUAAUUCGAUGCAACGCGAAGAACCUUACCAGGGCUUGACAUGUCUGGAAUCUCCUUGAAAGGGGAGAGUGCCUUCGGGAGCCAGAACACAGGUGGUGCAUGGCUGUCGUCAGCUCGUGUCGUGAGAUGUUGGGUUAAGUCCCGCAACGAGCGCAACCCUCGUUUUUAGUUGCCAUCAUUAAGUUGGGCACUCUAGAGAGACUGCCGGUGACAAACCGGAGGAAGGUGGGGAUGACGUCAAGUCAGCAUGCCCCUUACGUCCUGGGCUACACACGUACUACAAUGCGACGGACAAAGGGCAGCCAACCAGCGAUGGUGAGCUAAUCCCAUAAACCGUGGCUCAGUUCAGAUCGCAGGCUGCAACUCGCCUGCGUGAAGGAGGAAUCGCUAGUAAUUGCAGGUCAGCAUACUGCAGUGAAUCCGUUCCCGGGCCUUGUACACACCGCCCGUCACACCAUGGAAGCUGGCAAUGUCCGAAGUCGUUACCCUAACCCGCAAGGGAGGGGGACGCCGAAGGCAGGGCUGGUGACUGGGGUGAAGUCGUAACAAGGUAGCCGUACCGGAAGGU
Molecule: ribosomal RNA, 1073 nt
Filed under: Wilmottia murrayi 26GL17
Lineage: Bacteria; Bacillati; Cyanobacteriota; Cyanophyceae; Coleofasciculales; Wilmottiaceae
Description: bacterial SSU rRNA
Rfam family: Bacterial small subunit ribosomal RNA
Source: RNAcentral